GCGUUGUCCGGAAUUAUUGGGCGUAAAGAGCUCGUAGGCGGUUUGUCGCGUCUGCUGUGAAAACCCGAGGCUCAACCUCGGGCCUGCAGUGGGUACGGGCAGACUAGAGUGCGGUAGGGGAGAAUGGAAUUCCUGGUGUAGCGGUGGAAUGCGCAGAUAUCAGGAGGAACACCGAUGGCGAAGGCAGUUCUCUGGGCCGUUACUGACGCUGAGGAGCGAAAGCGUGGGGAGCGAACAGGAUUAGAUACCCUGGUAGUCCACGCCGUAAACGUUGGGAACUAGAUGUGGGGACCUUUCCACGGUCUCCGUGUCGCAGCUAACGCAUUAAGUUCCCCGCCUGGGGAGUACGGCCGCAAGGCUAAAACUCAAA
RNAcentral lists this ribosomal RNA (370 nucleotides) under uncultured Microbacteriaceae bacterium. RNAcentral describes it as "bacterial SSU rRNA". It matches the Rfam family "Bacterial small subunit ribosomal RNA", at positions 538 to 905 of the family's 1533-position model. Lineage: Bacteria; Bacillati; Actinomycetota; Actinomycetes; Micrococcales; Microbacteriaceae. The record is from RNAcentral.